Long non-coding RNA from Nyctereutes procyonoides (raccoon dog), 1317 nucleotides. RefSeq lists it as uncharacterized. The record is from RefSeq and is a predicted model, not a curated record. The transcript has 3 exons. NCBI's taxonomy places the organism in Eukaryota, Metazoa, Chordata, Mammalia, Carnivora, Canidae.
AUGGGGGGCGGGGCCUCGGACGGAGGAAGCCGGCGCCCGCCGCGGGGUGGAGCCUUUCCAGAGGUUCUCGCGGGAACAGCGACCCCUCCUGGGUCGCGGCGGCGCAGUCGCGGGGCGCGCCGGAAGUUGGGGCCGCGGCGCCGCGGGGAGGUCGCGCCGUAGCCUCCAGAGCCGAGUGGCUGAGGUCGGCGUGCAGGUUAGGCCCCGGAAACCGCAAGCAGAGAUAACCCCAAUUCUUCCCCCCCCCUUUUUUUUUCCUAAAGAUUUAUUUAUUUGUUCAUGACAGACCCAGAGAGAGAGAGAGGCAGAGGGAGAAGCAGGCUCCCUGCAGGGAGCCCGACGCGGGACUCGAUCUCGGGACUCCGGGAUCACGCCCUGGGCCGAAGGCCGGCGCUCAGCCGCUGAGCCACCCGGGCGUCCCCCUUUUUUUGUUGUAAGAGAAAAUUGGAAAAUUGUAGCGUCGGAUUACACCCUCCGUGAGAUCAGAACCAACAGUUCGCUGUCAUCCUGUAGCACCCGGUUGCAGAAUAGGGUUGAAGUUAUAGUCCCCACCGAGCCGGCUGUUCAUGCAGCAUGACCGGGGAUCUUCUGUGCACCAGGACUGAGUCAGGGGCUGGUCAAGACUGUCCCGGGCCGCAAGGAGCUCGCAGUUCGGUUACUUGACAACCGUCGGGGUCUUCACGCCCCCACCUGAAGCUCUUUUAACAGUUUGCAGCUGCAGGGACUUUGUGACUGCCUGGAUUACCGGAGCAACACUCUAGGCCUCCUAUGUGCAAAAGUACGGUGACGGGGGACACGAAAUGCCAGGUGGAGGACACAUAGAAGUAUAAAGUGGCACAUUGUACCAUUAUUCUCUACCUUUGGCUUACUAAUGAGUGAGGAAAGACUAAAAGGAAGAACUAUGGAUUGCCCUUUCCUUCUGUCAUCCUGUUCCAUGGUGUUUUAUUUAUUUAUUCAUGAGAGACACAGAGAGAGUGGCAGAGACACAGGCAGAGGGAGAAGCAGGCUCCAUGCAGGGAGCCCAACGUGGGACUCUAUCCUGGGUCUCCAGGAUCACACCCUGGACUGAAGGCAGCGCUAAACCUCUGAGCCACCCAACAUGCCCAUGGUUUUCAAAUAAUGACAAUUUUGUCACUUUCAUCAUUAUAUUGUUAUAUUUGUCUUUUUACAUUUGUUAGUGCCUUUAGCGUAAUAUUGAUUAAGAGCAAUGCUAGUAGAUGUCUUGGUACAUUCCUGAUGUUAAUGGGAAUUCUUCUCAUGUUUUCUAGAAAUCAUGAUGCUUGAUACUGAAUUGUCUAGAUAUUUGUUAAAGUUCCU